GUUACAAAUUACCACAAACUGGGUGGCUUAAAACAACAUGAAUUUAUUCUCUCCCGGUCCUGGAGGCGAGAAGUCUGAAAUUCAGGCGUUGGCCGGGUUGGUUCUCUCUGGAGGUUCUGAGGAGAAUCUGGUCUGCGCCUCUCCCCUGGCUCUGGUGGUGGCCGGCACCCCUCGGUGCUCUUUGGCUUGGACAGAGUGUGGCCACAGACCUGGCUUCCAGUCAAUGGAAUGUGCGGAAGGGAUGUGCUUCAUUCCAGAUGUGACACAGUACAGAAAGCUUGCUGAAAAAAC
Eptesicus fuscus (big brown bat) is the source of this 291-nucleotide long non-coding RNA. RefSeq lists it as uncharacterized. Lineage: Eukaryota; Metazoa; Chordata; Mammalia; Chiroptera; Vespertilionidae. The transcript is spliced from 3 exons. The record is from RefSeq and is a predicted model, not a curated record.